GUAGAAGUCACACCAGAGUCUCUUCCACCUCACCUGCGCAAGGCAUUUGAGCAUGCUGUGGCAAGUGGACAAUUAAGUCACCU
Molecule: non-coding RNA, 83 nt
Filed under: Ditylum brightwellii
Lineage: Eukaryota; Bacillariophyta; Thalassiosirophyceae; Lithodesmiales; Lithodesmiaceae
Source: RNAcentral